AUUACAACAGCUAUGAAUUAAUUGAUUAUGACAUUUUUCCUCUAUGGAUAACUGCGGUAAUUCUGGAGCUAAUACAUGCAUUAAUGCGGCGUCACUAGUUGGCGCCGUGCACUUAUUAGAACAAAACCAAUUCGUUGAUUUUGUUGACUCGGGAUAAUUUUAUCGCUGAUUGCAUGGCCUUCGUGCCGGCAAUAUGUCAAAGCUGUAUCUGCCCUAUCACACUUCCAACGGCAGUGUCUUGUUCUGACGUGGUUGUGACGGGUAACGGAGAAUUAGGGUUCGACUCCGGAGAAAUAGCCUGAGAAACGGCUUUUACAUCCAAGGAAGGCAGCAGGCGCGAAAAUUACCCACUCUUAGUACGAGGAGGUAGUGACGAGAAGUGACAAGACCUGUCCCUUCGGGGGCGGGUCAUUGGAAUGGUUAGAAUUUACAACCUUCCAAGAUUAUCUAUGAGAGGGCAAGUCUGGUGCCAGCAGCCGCGGUAAUUCCAGCUCUCAUACUGCAUUGAAUCGUUGUUGCGGUUAAAAAGCUCGUAGUUGGAUUGACACACGGUGUCUGUGGACUGCUCCUAGUGAGUGGUUCUGCAGCACGUGUUUAAUGUCGGUGUGUGGCUGACUUCGGUCAGUUACUGCUGAUGAGUUUACUUUGAAUAAAUCAGAGUGCUCAAAACAGGCGUAAGCUUGUAUGGUUUUGCAUGGAAUAAUGGAAUACGACACUGCGUGUGUUGUUUUUCGUUGGUUUUGCGUACCUGUGUCAUGAUUAAAAGGGACAAACGGG
Molecule: ribosomal RNA, 777 nt
Filed under: Panagrellus redivivoides
Lineage: Eukaryota; Metazoa; Nematoda; Chromadorea; Rhabditida; Panagrolaimidae
Description: SSU rRNA
Rfam family: Eukaryotic small subunit ribosomal RNA
Source: RNAcentral